Molecule: ribosomal RNA, 253 nt
Filed under: uncultured bacterium
Lineage: Bacteria
Description: partial 16S ribosomal RNA
Rfam family: Bacterial small subunit ribosomal RNA
Source: RNAcentral
UACGUAGGGGGCAAGCGUUGUCCGGAAUCACUGGGCGUAAAGCGCACGUAGGCGGAUUGCUAAGUCAGGGGUGAAAUCCUGGAGCUCAACUCCAGAACUGCCUUUGAUACUGGUGAUCUUGAGUCCGGGAGAGGUGAGUGGAACUGCGAGUGUAGAGGUGAAAUUCGUAGAUAUCGGGAGGAACACCAGUGGCGAAGGCGGCGACCUGGGCCGAUACUGACGCUGAGGUGCGAAAGCGUGGGGAGCAAACAGG